RNAcentral lists this transfer RNA (65 nucleotides) under Nodularia douglasiae. RNAcentral's name for it is "tRNA-His". The record is from RNAcentral. Lineage: Eukaryota; Metazoa; Mollusca; Bivalvia; Unionida; Unionidae.
UAAUGAGUAGUUUAAAUAAAACAGUAGGUUGUGGUUCUACAGAUAGGAUUAUUGACUCUCAUUAG